RNAcentral lists this small nuclear RNA (107 nucleotides) under Monodon monoceros (narwhal). Lineage: Eukaryota; Metazoa; Chordata; Mammalia; Artiodactyla; Monodontidae. The record is from RNAcentral.
GUGCUCGCUUUGGCAGCACAUAUACUAAAAUUAGAACGAUACAGAGAAGAUUAGCAUGGCCCUUGUGCAAGGAUGAUAUGCAAAUUCAUGAAGCGUUCCAUGUUUUU